UAUGAUAAAGCCAAACUCAUCGGGAGGUGAGGACGGAAAGCCACGGAUCUUGAAAAGAUAGCCGGGUUGCCUUAA
Molecule: non-coding RNA, 75 nt
Filed under: Desulfobacteraceae bacterium
Lineage: Bacteria; Pseudomonadati; Thermodesulfobacteriota; Desulfobacteria; Desulfobacterales; Desulfobacteraceae
Description: c-di-GMP sequence
Rfam family: c-di-GMP-I-GGC riboswitch aptamer
Source: RNAcentral